UGGGGAAUAUUGGACAAUGGGCGAAAGCCUGAUCCAGCAAUGCCGCGUGAGUGAUGAAGGCCUUAGGGUUGUAAAGCUCUUUUACCCGGGAUGAUAAUGACAGUACCGGGAGAAUAAGCUCCGGCUAACUCCGUGCCAGCAGCCGCGGUAAUACGGAGGGAGCUAGCGUUGUUCGGAAUUACUGGGCGUAAAGCGCGCGUAGGCGGUUACUCAAGUCAGAGGUGAAAGCCCGGGGCUCAACCCCGGAACUGCCUUUGAAACUAGGUGACUAGAAUCUUGGAGAGGUCAGUGGAAUUCCGAGUGUAGAGGUGAAAUUCGUAGAUAUUCGGAAGAACACCAGUGGCGAAGGCGACUGACUGGACAAGUAUUGACGCUGAGGUGCGAAAGCGUGGGGAGCAAACAGG
RNAcentral lists this ribosomal RNA (404 nucleotides) under uncultured Novosphingobium sp. RNAcentral's name for it is "bacterial SSU rRNA". It matches the Rfam family "Bacterial small subunit ribosomal RNA", at positions 355 to 776 of the family's 1533-position model. Lineage: Bacteria; Pseudomonadati; Pseudomonadota; Alphaproteobacteria; Sphingomonadales; Sphingomonadaceae. The record is from RNAcentral.